GACAGAGGACCCGAGCGUUAGUCGGAAUCACUGGGCUUAAAGGGUGCGUAGGCGGACCUUCAAGUGUCCCGUGAAAUCCCACCGCUCAACGGUGGAACUGCGGGACAUACUGCUGGUCUCGAGGAAGGUAGAGGCGGGCAGAACGAUAGGUGGAGCGGUGGAAUGCGUAGAGAUCUAUCGGAAUGCCAAAGGUGAAGACAGCCCGCUGGGCCUUUCCUGACGCUGAGGCACGAAAGCGUGGGGAGCAAACAGG
This 253-nucleotide ribosomal RNA is filed under the name uncultured bacterium. RNAcentral's name for it is "partial 16S ribosomal RNA". It matches the Rfam family "Bacterial small subunit ribosomal RNA", at positions 524 to 776 of the family's 1533-position model. The record is from RNAcentral.